GACGAACGCUGGCGGCGUGCUUAACACAUGCAAGUCGAGCGGUAAGGCCCUUUCGGGGGUACACGAGCGGCGAACGGGUGAGUAACACGUGGGUGACCUGCCCUCAGCUCUGGGAUAAGCCUGGGAAACCGGGUCUAAUACCGGAUAUGACUCCAUGACGCAUGUUGUGGGGUGGAAAGCCUUGUGCGGCUGAGGAUGGGCCCGCGGCCUAUCAGCUUGUUGGNGG
RNAcentral lists this ribosomal RNA (226 nucleotides) under uncultured bacterium. Its description in RNAcentral is "partial 16S ribosomal RNA". It matches the Rfam family "Bacterial small subunit ribosomal RNA", at positions 28 to 255 of the family's 1533-position model. The record is from RNAcentral.